Molecule: ribosomal RNA, 523 nt
Filed under: uncultured Lysobacteraceae bacterium
Lineage: Bacteria; Pseudomonadati; Pseudomonadota; Gammaproteobacteria; Lysobacterales; Lysobacteraceae
Description: bacterial SSU rRNA
Rfam family: Bacterial small subunit ribosomal RNA
Source: RNAcentral
AGAGUUUGAUCCUGGCUCAGAGUGAACGCUGGCGGCAGGCCUAACACAUGCAAGUCGAGCGGCAGCGCGGGGGCAACCCUGGCGGCGAGCGGCGGACGGGUGAGGAAUUCGUCGGAAUCUGCCUUUUUGUGGGGGAUAACGUAGGGAAACUUACGCUAAUACCGCAUACGACCUACGGGUGAAAGUGGGGGACCUUCGGGCCUCACGCAGAAAGAUGAGCCGACGACCGAUUAGCUAGUUGGUGGGGUAAAGGCCCACCAAGGCGACGAUCGGUAGCUGGUCUGAGAGGAUGAUCAGCCACACUGGGACUGAGACACGGCCCAGACUCCUACGGGAGGCAGCAGUGGGGAAUAUUGGACAAUGGGGGCAACCCUGAUCCAGCCAUGCCGCGUGUGUGAAGAAGGCCUUCGGGUUGUAAAGCACUUUUGUCCGGAAAGAAAUCUUCCAGUUUAAUACGCUGGGAGGAUGACGGUACCGGAAGAAUAAGCACCGGCUAACUUCGUGCCAGCCGCCGCGGUAAUUC